AAAAAAGGCAUCUCCCAAGGCUAUGAGGAUGAGAGAGUACCCAAUGACCAAAAUUUGGAGAGUCUGCUCCUUGAAUGGACCUCAAUUUUUAAAAUUAUUUUUGGCUGUCUGUACUUUAUUCCACCUUCUGUGUCUCCCCUCUUUCCCAUCUCCUUCAUGCCAAGUCAUACGACUUCCAUUGGCUGAAUUUAGUGUGACACUGAGAGUCAUGACCAUUAUGCUACUCUUGUAUCCAAGGGCAUCCAACCUUACAAAACUGAUACGAAACAUGUUAUAGAAGAAAUGCCAAAGGAAAAGUAAUAGGUCUGAGGAAGUCAGGACAGGCCCAGAGGGCAUGCAAACCAGAGUCUGAAGCCUGCUGUAGUCACAGUACCCUCUCAUCUCUGACAAAGAGC
RNAcentral lists this long non-coding RNA (395 nucleotides) under Cricetulus griseus (Chinese hamster). RNAcentral describes it as "lncRNA (ENSCGRG00015032602.1)". Lineage: Eukaryota; Metazoa; Chordata; Mammalia; Rodentia; Cricetidae. The record is from RNAcentral.